GGCUGGGAUAUGGAGGGGAUUCAGUGAGGAAGAGGAGCCUCAUAUAAGGGGUAGGCACACACUCACCCCCCACCCACGACUGGAGGGUGGCUCAUGCCUGGAAUCCCAGAACUUUGAGUAGAGCAAAGGGGAGGAUCACUUGAGCCCAGGAGUUCGAAACCAGCCUGGGCAACAUAGUGAUACCCCGUCUCUGCAAAAUUUUUCAAAUUAGCCAGGGUGGCAGUCCACGCCUGUAGUCCCAGCUACUCAAGAGGCUGAGGAGGGAGGAUCGCUUGGGCCCAGGAGUUCAAGGCUGCAGUGAGCUAUGAUCCCACCACUGCAAUCCAGCCUGAGCAACACAGCAAGACCCUAUCUCCAAAAUUUAAAAAAAGAGGAGGGGGCUUACUGAGAUGUGUGGUGGAGAGGUGGAGACCCCGCUGCUGACCGAGGAUGCUGAUGUGGGCCUGGAGUACGCGCCCUUUGAUGAUGACGACGGCCUGGUGGACUGUGACUCCCGGCCGCCUGCUACCAUGGCCACUGCAGGUACAGGACCAAGCACUGGUCUAGCAGUUCGGCAUCGCUCCCUCCCAAGAAAAAGAAGAAAAAGAAAGGCGGCCACGGGAGAAGCAGAGCCAGACUCACUGACCCGGCCCAUGUGUUACCAGCUCCCAAGGAAGGAGACCACUACUACUGCUGCUGCCCUCCUCCCCCUACCUUGCCUAGUUCACAAGACAGGAGUAAAGAGAAAGAAACAAAAGAUAAAUAGCCAGACAACCUUGGCACCACCACCCCGCCCUAGGAGUUAAACAAAGUAAUAAUAAUAACAUCAACCCCUGGCCUAAACUACUUGUGUUAUCUGUAAAUUCCAGACACUGUAUGAAAAAAGCAUUGUAAAACUUUGUUAGCUGAUGCAUGUAGCCCCCAGUCACAUUUCCCACGCUUGCUCGAUUUAUCACGACCCUUUCACAUGGACCCCUUAAAAGGCCUAGUAUUUAAAAAGGCCUAGUAUUUCUUUCUCGGGAAGCUGGGCUCUUAAGACGCGAGUCUGCGGACACUCCCGGCCAAAUAAAAAACCUCUUCC
RNAcentral lists this long non-coding RNA (1060 nucleotides) under Rhinopithecus bieti (black snub-nosed monkey). RNAcentral's name for it is "lncRNA (ENSRBIG00000045350.1)". Lineage: Eukaryota; Metazoa; Chordata; Mammalia; Primates; Cercopithecidae. The record is from RNAcentral.